Molecule: ribosomal RNA, 512 nt
Filed under: uncultured bacterium
Lineage: Bacteria
Description: bacterial SSU rRNA
Rfam family: Bacterial small subunit ribosomal RNA
Source: RNAcentral
AGAGUUUGAUCAUGGCUCAGAUUGAACGCUGGCGGCAUGCCUAACACAUGCAAGUCGAACGGAAACAGGACGCUGUGAUCUCUUCGGAGUGAGCUUGUCGCUGUCGAGUGGCGGACGGGUGAGUAAUGCAUAGGAAUCUGCCUUGAAGUGGGGGAUAGCCCGGAGAAAUCCGGAUUAAUACCGCAUGUGCUCUACGGAGCAAAGCGGGCCUCUGUUUCAAGCUCGCGCUUGAGGAUGAGCCUACGUCGGAUUAGCUAGUUGGUGGGGUAAAGGCCUACCAAGGCGACGAUCCGUAGCUGGUCUGAGAGGAUGACCAGCCACACUGGGACUGAGACACGGCCCAGACUCCUACGGGAGGCAGCAGUGGGGAAUAUUGGACAAUGGGCGCAAGCCUGAUCCAGCAAUGCCGCGUGUGUGAAGAAGGCCUGCGGGUUGUAAAGCACUUUUAUCGGGAAAGAAAAUCACAGGGUUAAUACCUCUGUGCCUUGACGGUACCCGAAGAAUAAGCACCG